AGAGUUUGAUCCUGGCUCAGAACGAACGCUGGCGGCAGGCCUAACACAUGCAAGUCGAGCGCACCUUCGGGUGAGCGGCGGACGGGUUAGUAACGCGUGGGAAUAUGCCCAAAGGUACGGAAUAGCCUCUGGAAACGGAGAGUAAUACCGUAUGUGCCCUUCGGGGGAAAGAUUUAUCGCCUUUGGAUUAGCCCGCGUUGGGUUAGGUAGUUGGUGGGGUAAUGGCCUACCAAGCCUACGAUCCAUAGCUGGUUUGAGAGGAUGAUCAGCAACACUGGGACUGAGACACGGCCCAGACUCCUACGGGAGGCAGCAGUGGGGAAUCUUAGACAAUGGGCGCAAGCCUGAUCUAGCCAUGCCGCGUGAGUGACGAAGGCCUUAGGGUCGUAAAGCUCUUUCGCCAGGGAUGAUAAUGACAGUACCUGGUAAAGAAACCCCGGCUAACUCCGUGCCAGCAGCCGCGGUAAU
This 468-nucleotide ribosomal RNA is filed under the name uncultured bacterium. RNAcentral describes it as "bacterial SSU rRNA". It matches the Rfam family "Bacterial small subunit ribosomal RNA", at positions 8 to 524 of the family's 1533-position model. The record is from RNAcentral.